UCCUGAGCUGACGUGAUGGCAUGUGUGGAGGCCAAGCACACAGGACACAGAAGUGGAUUCAGAGAUUUGUGUGCGGAAAGUGAGGGGAAGCAGGAUGGGGUGCCGGGAAAAAACGCACUGUGAGGCCAUUCCAAGGGAGGCCUCAACGGACCCCAUGGGGAGGCAGGGGCUGGAGUCACUCAUCAGUUGUCCGGAAAUGAGGCAAGGGGACUUUGGAGAGCCUUGGGUCCUAGAUCCCCGCGUGAGGCAGCUUCCUUGUGCCAGGGGCAAUUCCUUCCUGAGCUCUCAGAUUUCAACACCUGAUCCUGAAGGGUGGCCUGUGCGGCCACCAUUAUACUAGAGGUGGCAGGCUGGUCAAUGAGCGUGAGGUUGGCCUGUGGUCUGAGAUGUGGUCUGGUCAGUGACCAGACCCGGCCAGCCUCUGUAGAACAUUCAGUGAAAAGAGCCUCUCAUGGUUUAGGGGAGAGGGCUGACAGGAUCAGAUUUUCAUUCUAGAUUGCUGUGGGAGCUCAGGAGAGAGAGCAAGACUGAUGAGAAACAUGAAGUGUGGCCAGUGCACAGAAGAUGUCUAAAGACACAGGAGUGGCUAGGACCUCACAGAGCCUGGGGAGGUAAGAGGGGGGCGGAGCUUAGCGCAGAGUCUGGGGAGAGCGGCGACACUUACAGGGCGGGGAGAUCAGGAUACUCCAAGGAGUUGGGUGUGCAAUAGUGCAAUACAUGGUCUUUCCUGGGUGGGUAAAUUGGAGAGCUAAGAGAACGAAAGCUCCAGGGAGGAAGGUGACAUCACAGACGGAAAAGCCCUCCUUUCCUCCCCCAACACAUGUACACUCAGCAGUGGCUUGGUAAGCUGAGUUCAGCCGGCUGCCCCUAGAUGGCAGUGUACGCACAUAGCAGGAGCUGCCCAGCAAAACUCUCCAGGGACAGCAAGGGUCUCCCAUGGGACCAGCAGAAGCUCACCAGGGCUGUGAGAGGGACCAGGAGAGGCACCCAUGAUGCCUGCUGCAUCCACCUAUGCUCUGCUUUGCUGCAGGGGCACAGUCUUGGGUGGAAGAUUGGACAUAAAGCCAAUGGUUCUGGUUCGACCACUUACGGGCUGAAGUGACUCCCUGAGACUACUUUGCACAUUCGUUUUAUAAAUGCGUACCUUCAUGAAGCCCA
This is a long non-coding RNA of Felis catus (domestic cat), 1158 nucleotides long. RefSeq lists it as uncharacterized. The record is from RefSeq and is a predicted model, not a curated record. Lineage: Eukaryota; Metazoa; Chordata; Mammalia; Carnivora; Felidae. The transcript is spliced from 2 exons.